UGCCAGCAGCCGCGGUAACACGGGGGGCGCAAGCGUUGUUCGGAAUUACUGGGCGUAAAGGGCGUGUAGGCGGACCAAUCAGUCAGGGGUGAAAGCCAUGGGCUCAACCUGUGAACUGCCUUUGAUACUGUUGGUCUAGAGUUCGUGAGAGGAUAGCGGAAUACCCAGUGUAGAGGUGAAAUUCGUAGAUAUUGGGUAGAACACCAGUGGCGAAGGCGGCUAUCUGGCACGAUACUGACGCUGAGGCGCGAAAGCGUGGGGAGCAAACAGGAUUAGAUA
RNAcentral lists this ribosomal RNA (279 nucleotides) under uncultured bacterium. Its description in RNAcentral is "partial 16S ribosomal RNA". It matches the Rfam family "Bacterial small subunit ribosomal RNA", at positions 506 to 784 of the family's 1533-position model. The record is from RNAcentral.